Molecule: RNase P RNA, 348 nt
Filed under: Betaproteobacteria bacterium RBG_16_66_20
Lineage: Bacteria; Pseudomonadati; Pseudomonadota; Betaproteobacteria
Description: RNase P RNA component class A
Rfam family: Bacterial RNase P class A
About the family: Ribonuclease P (RNase P) is a ubiquitous endoribonuclease, found in archaea, bacteria and eukarya as well as chloroplasts and mitochondria. Its best characterised activity is the generation of mature 5'-ends of tRNAs by cleaving the 5'-leader elements of precursor-tRNAs. Cellular RNase Ps are ribonucleoproteins.
Source: RNAcentral
GGAGUCGGCCAGGCAGUCGCUGCACCGAAAGGUGCAGAGGAAAGUCCGGGCUCCAGAGAGCGGGAUGCGGGCUAACGACCCGGCGUGGCGACGCGACGAACAGGGCCACAGAGACGAGUCCCAGCCGCAAGGCUGGGGGUGAAACGCGGCAACCUCCAUCCGGAGCAACACCAAAUAGGCAAGCAUGGUGACCGAGGGCAACCUCGGCACUGGAGGCCGGCUCGGUCGGGCUUGCGGGUAGGUGGCUUGAGCCUAGGAGCAAUCCUGGGCCUAGAGGAAUGGCUGUCGGGGGGGCCCUUUUCGGAGGGUUCCCCGUCACAGAACCCGGCUUAUCGGCCGGCUCCCGCU